GACGAACGCUGGCGGCGUGCCUAAUACAUGCAAGUAGAACGCACAGUUUAUACCGUAGCUUGCUACACCAUAGACUGUGAGUUGCGAACGGGUGAGUAACGCGUAGGUAACCUGCCUGGUAGCGGGGGAUAACUAUUGGAAACGAUAGCUAAUACCGCAUAAUAUUAAUUAUUGCAUGAUAAUUAAUUGAAAGGUGCAAUUGCACCACUACCAGAUGGACCUGCGUUGUAUUAGCUAGUAGGUGAGGUAACGGCUCACCUAGGCGACGAUACAUAGCCGACCUGAGAGGGUGAUCGGCCACACUGGGAAUGAGACACGGCCCAGACUCCUACGGGAGGCAGCAGUAGGGAAUCUUCGGCAAUGGACGAAAGUCUGACCGAGCAACGCCGCGUGAGUGAAGAAGGUUGUCGGAUCGGAAAGCUCUGUUGUAAGAGAAGAACGGGUGUGAGAGUGGAAAGUUCACACUGUGACGGUAUCUUACCAGAAAGGGACGGCUAACUACGUG
Molecule: ribosomal RNA, 505 nt
Filed under: uncultured bacterium
Lineage: Bacteria
Description: partial 16S ribosomal RNA
Rfam family: Bacterial small subunit ribosomal RNA
Source: RNAcentral